GGGCCCUCUCAGGUCACCCCAUCCACCGCUGGGCCAAGCCCCAGUGCCCGAAGCAGCAGCAACGAACGCAGCUGGGUUCCGCCUGUUCCCGCCUCGGCAUCCGGAACCCACUCGGGACACACUCUGCGUCUGGCCGUUUGUCUGCUGUGAUAUCGAGAUCCGUCCAAGUGGCACUUAUCAGCCCCGGGUUUAUUUUUGGCUGUCGAGAGCUGUUCCUUCUCUGAACCCAGGCAACUCGCUCUACAGUCUCUGCCAAUGGACAUUUGGGUCAUUUCUCAUUGGGGGACAUCGUGAUCGUGACUGGUAAAGACACGUGAGCACGUCUGCUUCGGGGGUGAUGGCCGGCGAGUGCUCUGUGCAGCGUGACCCUUCCACACCUGGUGAACAGGGGAGGACGGCGCGCGGCUGAACUCUGGCCUUCAGGGUGGGCACUGGGCCAGCCUGCCUCUCCCCUCCCCGUCUCCCUCCCCUCUCUCCUCUACUCCUCGUCUCCUCCUCUCUCUGGCGGCUCCUGCAAGGAUGCCCACAUCAGCCCUGGGUGGAGGGAAGGCCCAGGACAGCACAUGUCAACUGGGGGGUGACCUGAGGAAAACGGUGGGACCUGGGGAGUCUGCCGUGGCCACCGGGGACUUUGGCAGGAAGCGCUUUUCCCUGGCUGCAGUCUCCUGCGUGUCCUUUCUCAGAGCCUCUCCUCCCAGACCACAAGGCCACGCCACAGGGCCCCUGCCCGUCCCGUUCCCCUCUACCCCGGUCCUCCUAGAUGCCUGCUAAGUGAAAGAAUAAGUGACAGAAACCAGGCAUCACAGACUGCGGCGCGGGGGACUAUCUGGUGAGUGACGUGAGCUGGUGGGAGAAAAAUCGCACCAUCUUGACGAACCUGCUUGGCGCUCUUGACAGUGUUGGAAGGGCAGAAAAGCACUAUUUUUCCAGGGGAAAAAUGCCCAAACAUGACAAUGAUUUACAGUUGACACUGGGCUUCAGUGUCAUGGGUG
This 992-nucleotide long non-coding RNA is filed under the name Ictidomys tridecemlineatus (thirteen-lined ground squirrel). RNAcentral describes it as "lncRNA (ENSSTOG00000032530.1)". The record is from RNAcentral. Lineage: Eukaryota; Metazoa; Chordata; Mammalia; Rodentia; Sciuridae.